GCUUGGCUAUAAACAUAGGUAGAACCAACACAAAUCUACCCGCCAGAGAACUACAAGCGAAAAGCUGCAAACUCCAAGGACUUGGCGGUGCUCCACACCAACCUAGAGGAGCCUGUCCUGUAAUCGAUACUCCACGCUAAACCUUACCACUUCUAGCCAAUAGCCUAUAUACCGCCGUCGCCAGCCUACCUUAUGAGGGCAAAACAGUAAGCAAAAUAGUUAACAACUAACACGUCAGGUCAAGGUGUAGCACAUGAUGUGGUAGAGAUGGGCUACAUUUUCUGACACAGAAAACACGGAAGCCGUAGUGAAACCUAUGCCCAAAGGCGGAUUUAGCAGUAAGGCGUGCAAGAAAAAACACCUUAAACCUGCUCUGGAGCGCGC
RNAcentral lists this ribosomal RNA (384 nucleotides) under Scincopus fasciatus. RNAcentral's name for it is "partial 12S ribosomal RNA". It matches the Rfam family "Bacterial small subunit ribosomal RNA", at positions 794 to 1384 of the family's 1533-position model. The record is from RNAcentral. Lineage: Eukaryota; Metazoa; Chordata; Lepidosauria; Squamata; Scincidae.